UACGAAGGGGGCUAGCGUUGUUCGGAAUCACUGGGCGUAAAGCGCACGUAGGCGGAUCCUUAAGUCAGGGGUGAAAUGCCGGGGCUCAACCCCGGAACUGCCUUUGAUACUGGGGAUCUCGAGUCCGGGAGAGGUGAGUGGAAUUGCGAGUGUAGAGGUGAAAUUCGUAGAUAUUCGCAAGAACACCAGUGGCGAAGGCGGCUCACUGGCCCGGUACCGACGCUGAGGUGCGAAAGCGUGGGGAGCAAACAGG
This 253-nucleotide ribosomal RNA is filed under the name uncultured bacterium. Its description in RNAcentral is "partial 16S ribosomal RNA". It matches the Rfam family "Bacterial small subunit ribosomal RNA", at positions 524 to 776 of the family's 1533-position model. The record is from RNAcentral.